RNAcentral lists this non-coding RNA (218 nucleotides) under Streptomyces lincolnensis. Its description in RNAcentral is "Streptomyces sRNA 4677". It matches the Rfam family "Streptomyces sRNA 4677". From Rfam's summary of the family: Located in the intergenic region between anti-sigma factor SCO4677 gene and a putative regulatory protein gene SCO4676. scr4677 expression requires the SCO4677 activity and scr4677 sRNA itself seem to affect the levels of the SCO4676-associated transcripts. Lineage: Bacteria; Bacillati; Actinomycetota; Actinomycetes; Kitasatosporales; Streptomycetaceae. The record is from Rfam by way of RNAcentral.
GGGUCCGGCAGGCCGCGUACCUCCCCCAAGGACUGUGGGGAAAGAGCCAACCACCCUCCCCCACCGGCCCGUUCACCCUCAGGAGUGACCCGGUUGCGGCGAGUACGGACGGAGGGUUACGUUCCCCGCACACCACAACUUCAGACAGACAACGGCCCCCGGCCGGGACUGGCAUCCCGAUCGAGGGCCUGACCAACCAGGAAGAAAGCACCUUCCCG